Molecule: long non-coding RNA, 401 nt
Organism: Ochotona princeps (American pika)
Lineage: Eukaryota; Metazoa; Chordata; Mammalia; Lagomorpha; Ochotonidae
Exons: 3
Source: RefSeq, a predicted model, not a curated record
AUUGAUGUCACAAGCCCAGGCUUCUGACUUUAUUGCAUAAUGCAGUAGCAACUGGAUUUGCAGAAGAAACACCCUGCUAAAGAACAAGUGUCUUGGUUCACAGCAAAGAGGACAAAGGAAAACAGCAAGUCAUAGGGGGUUGAAUCCUGGAUUCAUACCAGGAGGAGAAGGUGGGUUGCAGUAUUCACCCAUGUCUCGUCUCUGGAAUAAAAGGGUGACUCCCAAGGAAACACAUGCCAAUUUGAACAUAGGAGGAGUACUUGCUCACACCCCCAUCUGCCUUAAUAGAAUAUCUGUUAACAACAUGAUUUCUGAAACAGGAGUCAGGAAGAGAGGAAAGAAAAUGGCUAACUUUGCUCUGAGAGUGAAUGCUAUAUUUUUAAGGUCAGUGCCUGAAAUGU